RNAcentral lists this ribosomal RNA (478 nucleotides) under uncultured bacterium. RNAcentral's name for it is "partial 16S ribosomal RNA". It matches the Rfam family "Bacterial small subunit ribosomal RNA", at positions 28 to 523 of the family's 1533-position model. The record is from RNAcentral.
GACGAACGCUGGCGGCGUGCUUAACACAUGCAAGUCGAACGGUAAGGCCCUUCGGGGUACACGAGUGGCGAACGGGUGAGUAACACGUGGGUGAUCUGCCCUGCACUUCGGGAUAAGCCUGGGAAACUGGGCCUAAUACCGGAUAGGACCACUGCCUGCAUGGGUGGUGGUGGAAAGCUUUUGCGGUGUGGGAUGGUCCCGCGGCCUAUCAGAUUGUUGGUGGGGUGAUGGCCUACCAAGGCGACGACGGGUAGCCGGCCUGAGAGGGUGACCGGCCACACUGGGACUGAGAUACUGCCCAGACUCCUACGUGAGGCAGCAGUGGGGAAUAUUGCACAAUGGGCGCAAGCCUGAUGCAGCGACGCCGCGUGAGGGAUGACGGCCUUCGGGUUGUAAACCUCUUUCAGCACCGACGAAGCGCAAGUGACGAUAGGUGCAGAAGAAGGACCGGCCAACUACGUGCCAGCAGCCGCAGUAA